AUUGAACGCUGGCGGCAUGCCUUACACAUGCAAGUCGAACGGCAGCACGGGGGCAACCCUGGUGGCGAGUGGCGAACGGGUGAGUAACAUAUCGGAACGUGCCCUGGAGUGGGGGAUAACUAGUCGAAAGAUUAGCUAAUACCGCAUACGAUCUACGGAUGAAAGUGGGGACCGCAAGGCCUCAUGCUCGUGGAGCGGCCGAUAUCUGAUUAGCUAGUUGGUGGGGUAAAAGCCUACCAAGGCAUCAAUCAGUAGCUGGUCUGAGAGGACGACCAGCCACACUGGGACUGAGACACGGCCCAGACUCCUACGGGAGGCAGCAGUGGGGAAUUUUGGACAAUGGGCGCAAGCCUGAUCCAGCAAUGCCGCGUGAGUGAAGAAGGCCUUCGGGUUGUAAAGCUCUUUUGUCAGGGAAGAAACGACUCCCUCUAAUACAGGGGGUUAAUGACGGUACCUGAAGAAUAAGCACCGGCUAACUCUGUGCCGGCAGCCGCGGUAAUACAGAGGUCUCAAGCGUUGUUCGGAUUCAUUGGGCGUAAAGGGUGCGUAGGUGGCGAGGUAAGUCUGGUGUGAAAUCCCGGGGCUCAACCCCGGAACUGCACUGGAUACUGCCCUGCUGGAGUACUGGAGAGGAGAUUGGAAUUUACGGUGUAGCAGUGAAAUGCGUAGAUAUCGUAAGGAAGACCAGUGGCGAAGGCGAAUCUCUGGACAGUUACUGACACUGAGGCACGAAGGCCAGGGGAGCAAACGGGAUUAGAUACCCCGGUAGUCCUGGCAGUAAACGGUGCGCGCUUGGUGUGGGAGGAAUCGACCCCUUCCGUGCCGGAGCUAACGCGUUAAACGCGCCGCCUGGGGAGUACGGUCGCAAGAUUAAAACUCAAAGAAAUUGACGGGGGCCCGCACAAGCGGUGGAGUAUGUGGCUUAAUUCGAUGCAACGCGAAGAACCUUACCUGGGCUUGACAUGCAUCUCUCAGUCGGUGAAAGCCGGCGAGUCCCGCAAGGGACAAUUUGCACAGGUGCUGCAUGGCUGUCGUCAGCUCGUGUCGUGAGAUGUUGGGUUAAGUCCCGCAACGAGCGCAACCCCUGUGAUCUGUUGCUAACCGGCUUGUCCGGAGCACUCUGGUCAGACUGCCCUGUGAAACGGGGAGGAAGGUGGGGAUGACGUCAAGUCAGCAUGGCCCUUACGCCCAGGGCUGCACACGUACUACAAUGCUCAGUACAGAAUGAACCGAAACCGCGAGGUGGAGGAAAUCCCUAAAACUGAGCCCAAUUCGGAUCGCAGGCUGCAACUCGCCUGCGUGAAGCCGGAAUCGCUAGUAAUGGCGCAUCAGCUACGGCGCCGUGAAUACGUUCCCGGGCCUUGUACACACCGCCCGUCACAUCAUGGGAGUCACUUGUUCCCGAAGUGCAUGCGCCAACCCGCAAGGGAGGCAGUGCCCUAAGGAAUGAGCGGUAACUGGGAUG
This 1465-nucleotide ribosomal RNA is filed under the name uncultured bacterium. RNAcentral describes it as "partial 16S rRNA". It matches the Rfam family "Bacterial small subunit ribosomal RNA". The record is from RNAcentral.